RNAcentral lists this transfer-messenger RNA (240 nucleotides) under Betaproteobacteria bacterium. RNAcentral's name for it is "partial transfer-messenger RNA". It matches the Rfam family "transfer-messenger RNA", at positions 1 to 233 of the family's 374-position model. From Rfam's summary of the family: Bacterial tmRNA, also known as 10Sa RNA or SsrA, is named for its dual tRNA and mRNA-like properties. Its role is to liberate the mRNA from a stalled ribosome. Lineage: Bacteria; Pseudomonadati; Pseudomonadota; Betaproteobacteria. The record is from RNAcentral.
GGGGCCGACCUGGUUUCGACGUGGGUCAGGAAGUGGGUCAGGGCAUGCCGAGGACUCGUUACCUCGUAAAUCCAGCGGGAAAUUAAUAAACGCCAACGACGAGCGUUUCGCUCUCGCCGCCUAAUCCCGGUGAGCGCCACACCAACUUGCUGAUGGGUUGGGUCAGAUUCGGGUAACUGGGUCUGGCAGUGGUGUAACUUAAGUCAGAUCGCGCGUGCGCCGGGUUACUUGGACGCACCG